GGGGAUGUAGUUCAGUGGUAGAGUGCAUGCUUAGCAUGCAUGGGGCCCUCAGUUCAAUCCCUAGCACCUCCA
Molecule: transfer RNA, 72 nt
Filed under: Chlorocebus sabaeus (green monkey)
Lineage: Eukaryota; Metazoa; Chordata; Mammalia; Primates; Cercopithecidae
Rfam family: tRNA
About the family: Transfer RNA (tRNA) molecules are approximately 80 nucleotides in length. Their secondary structure includes four short double-helical elements and three loops (D, anti-codon, and T loops). Further hydrogen bonds mediate the characteristic L-shaped molecular structure. tRNAs have two regions of fundamental functional importance: the anti-codon, which is responsible for specific mRNA codon recognition, and the 3' end, to which the tRNAs corresponding amino acid is attached (by aminoacyl-tRNA synthetases). tRNAs cope with the degeneracy of the genetic code in two manners: having more than one tRNA (with a specific anti-codon) for a particular amino acid; and 'wobble' base-pairing, i.e. permitting non-standard base-pairing at the 3rd anti-codon position.
Source: Rfam by way of RNAcentral